AUGGAAAAGGCAGGAACGGGAGGAGGAGGAAGGAGGGAGGGAGGGAGGAAGGGCAGCCGAGGUCUCUCCAGCUGCCCCGAUUCCCCUCGCUCGGCUUUUGACAUUUCCGAAGGCCGGGAUGAGCAACAGGCACGGAAAACCGACGGGGGGAUGAGCAAAUCCUUGGAUCCGCCCCAAGGAGAUGGGGAUGGAGCCUCCGUGCGUGCGGAAAAGCUCUGCCUUUCCACGGAGCCUCCGGCUGGGAUCGCGGCUCCCGCCUGCCCCCGGAUCAACGGGAGAUUAAAGAGAGCCGGGACAAAGCUGGAGCAAAGAUUGGAUUUUCCCUCCUGUCCGUGGAGAUCCAGGAGUUCAGAGAGAGGAAUUCCCAGAUGUUUUCCAGCCCCUUUCCUGUGUUAUUCCCUUCCAGACCUGCACGUUUCCGUGGGGAACGGAACAAUCCCCAUCCCAGUUCAAUCGCAGUGGGAAUUGGGUUUUUCCUCUGGUCCAUGGGAUCCAGGAGUUCCCAAUGCAGCAAUUCCAGGUGUUUUCCAUCCCUUUCCCCACAUUAUUCCCUUCCAGACCCUGAGUUCCCAUGGGAAGAGGAACCAUCCCCAUCCCUGUCCAGAGCAAAGACUGGAUUUUCCUUUCUGUCCGUGGGAUCCAGGAUUUCCCAAUGCAGCAUUUCCAGGUGUUUUCCAUCCCUUUCCCUACAUUAUUCCCUCCCAGCCCGGUGCACUUCCCUGUGAAAGGGAUCCAUCCCCAUCCCAGUCCAGCCAAGGCUUUUGGGGGUGUUUGAACCAUUCCCUGAUUUUUGGUGGAUUUUUCAUUUCCGAGAGACCCAAGUUUGGGAUGGCCCCGGCCACUCCCACGCAGCAAACCCAUGCAUCCAAACAUUUUUCCAAGGAAAUCUCUCUCCAAUCCCAUCUUCUGGGCGGCCAAAAUAAAACCAACCCCAAAAUGGGAACUUUUUCCCCUCUCUGCUCCCUCCACGUGCUGGAAAACCACUCGGAGCUGGCAUUGGGAGCAGCUUCUGCCUCUAUUCCUGGGAAUUCUGGCUUGGCUGGGCUUUAA
This 1050-nucleotide long non-coding RNA is filed under the name Cyanistes caeruleus (blue tit). RNAcentral's name for it is "lncRNA (ENSCCEG00000013963.1)". Lineage: Eukaryota; Metazoa; Chordata; Aves; Passeriformes; Paridae. The record is from RNAcentral.